This 492-nucleotide ribosomal RNA is filed under the name uncultured bacterium. RNAcentral's name for it is "partial 16S ribosomal RNA". It matches the Rfam family "Bacterial small subunit ribosomal RNA", at positions 29 to 507 of the family's 1533-position model. The record is from RNAcentral.
AGUGAACGCUGGCGGUAGGCCUAACACAUGCAAGUCGAACGGCAGCACAGUAAGAGCUUGCUCUUACGGGUGGCGAGUGGCGGACGGGUGAGGAAUACAUCGGAAUCUACUUUUUCGGGGGGGAUAACGUAGGGAAACUUACGCUAAUACCGCGUACGACCUACGGGUGAAAGCAGGGGAUCUUCGGACCUUGCGCGACUGAAUGAGCCGAUGUCGGAUUAGCUAGUUGGCGGGGUAAGGGCCCACCAAGGCGACGAUACGUAGCUGGUCUGAGAGGAUGAUCGGCCACACUGGAACUGAGACACGGUCCAGACUCCUACGGGAGGCAGCAGUGGGGAAUAUUCGACAAUGGGCGCAAGCCUGAUCCAGCCACACCGCGUGGGUGAUGAAGGCCUUCGGGUUGUAAAGCCCUUUUGUUGGGAAAGAACAGCAGCAGGUUAAUCCCCCGCUGUUCUGACGGUACCCAAAGAAUAAGCACCGGCUAACUUCGUG